AAUGACUCUAGUCAAGAGCUAUAUCCUGGGUGUAAGAAUUUCUCAAUACUGCAUUUCAUAAUUAGACUACUUCAUGUCAAAUUUCUUGGUGGAUGGUCAGAUAUAAGUUUUAACCUGUUGCUAGAUCUACUUAAUGAUGCUUUUCCUGAAGGGUCCUCACUAGCCAAGAACUAUAAUGAGGCUAAGAAAUUUUUGAAAUGCCUAGGACUUGGAUAUGUUAGUAUUCAUGCAUGUGAACAUGAUUGCAUCCUCUUCUGGAAAAACCAUGCUAAGGCUGAUGUUUGUCCAAUAUGCAAUACAUCAUGA
This 306-nucleotide ribosomal RNA is filed under the name Triticum aestivum (bread wheat). RNAcentral describes it as "partial small subunit ribosomal RNA". Lineage: Eukaryota; Viridiplantae; Streptophyta; Magnoliopsida; Poales; Poaceae. The record is from RNAcentral.